RNAcentral lists this ribosomal RNA (497 nucleotides) under Halomonas sp. M2-C17. RNAcentral describes it as "bacterial SSU rRNA". It matches the Rfam family "Bacterial small subunit ribosomal RNA", at positions 1 to 495 of the family's 1533-position model. Lineage: Bacteria; Pseudomonadati; Pseudomonadota; Gammaproteobacteria; Oceanospirillales; Halomonadaceae. The record is from RNAcentral.
CUAGAGUUUGAAUCAUGGCUCAGAUUGAACGCUGGCGGCAGGCCUAACACAUGCAAGUCGAGCGGAAACGAUGGAAGCUUGCUUCCAGGCGUCGAGCGGCGGACGGGUGAGUAAUGCAUAGGAAUCUGCCCGAUAGUGGGGGAUAACGUGGGGAAACCCACGCUAAUACCGCAUACGUCCUACGGGAGAAAGCAGGGGAUCUUCGGACCUUGCGCUAUCGGAUGAGCCUAUGUCGGAUUAGCUAGUUGGUGAGGUAAUGGCUCACCAAGGCGACGAUCCGUAGCUGGUCUGAGAGGAUGAUCAGCCACACUGGGACUGAGACACGGCCCAGACUCCUACGGGAGGCAGCAGUGGGGAAUAUUGGACAAUGGGGGAAACCCUGAUCCAGCCAUGCCGCGUGUGUGAAGAAGGCCUUCGGGUUGUAAAGCACUUUCAGCGAGGAAGAAGGCCUGAGGGUUAAUACCCUUCAGGAAGGACAUCACUCGCGAGAAGACCGU